CAAGGAUAGUCACAGCAAUUUGCAGGCAGAAACAAUCAACUGAUCUGUGGUGCUUGCAAAGCUCUGUCCCUCUGCAAGUUCCAGUGAUCAUAACAAAUCCUGUUUUCAGCCCAGCCAUGGCUUUGCCUGCCCCACACCUCAUGCCAUGUAUUAAUAACCAGACCUUUGGACUGAAAGUUAUCCAUCACUGUUCUGGGUAUAUAAAGAACUUGGGGGGUUGUUCUGAUCUCCCCAUGGCUGGAGUAAGUAGGAAAGAUGGAAAGGGCAGUACAACAGAUGGGACCAGAGACAUCAUUCCUAAAGCAAGACUGGCAAUUCCCCAACCCUUUCUGCAAAGCUAUUGAAAAUAUUCUUCCUAUAGCCCAUCGUGCAGCCAUCACUCUGAUCAUAGCAUGGGAAUAUUACUCUUCUUAACCAAUGACCUCUGAACAUCUAGUAAGGUGAGCCUCCAUCAUGACUCAUUGUUUUUAAUAUUCAUAGGAAGUGAAACUAUAGUAUUGAUUAGCUAUUUUCAUCUUCUCUGCAUUAAUCAUGAAUGCAUUUGGAAUGGAUCAUAAAUGCAAUUCCCCCUAAUAUCAAACUUGGUGGUCCUGUGCCAAUGAGCAGGGUGGAAAAUGCAGCCACCCAUAUGUCCAAUAACUCCCUGGGCAUGGAAAAAUAUAUAUAGAGGCUCCCUCACACACAAAAAUGCUCUUCUGAUGAGGGAUGUGCAUGGUGCACAAAGCAUUCUGAUAGGAAUAGGAAACAGCUCAUCAAUAUUUCUAAUUUUGAUCUAAUUUUGUGUAUUUAAAAUGAGCGUAUUUGAAUUGAUCAUCAAUUCCCCCUAAUAUCAAACUGGGUGAACAUGUGACAAAUAGGGCAGUGAAUGGAAUGAUCUACAUCUCCAAAACAACAACAAAAACAACAACAACAACAACCCCUAGGCAUGGAGAAAAGGAAGGGCACUCCCCCCCACCUCUAAAAGAUCCUCUUCUGCUGAGUUGAGAAAGGGGUGUAGUUCAGUGAUAAAGCAUUUCCAGAUAGGGCUGGGGAAGACUCCUGUCUGAAAUCCUGGAGAGCUUUCCUUGUGUAGACGGUACUGAGCUAGAUUAACCAAUGGUCUGACUCAGCACAAGACAGUUAGCUUCCCAUGUUCCUUGUAGAUGUACAUGGUGCAUGAAGACAUCUAACAGGAAUACAGAAGGUUAGAAAUUGCUUGCUUGUUUAAAAGCAAUCUGAUAUUUUGUUUUUUUGCAACAUUUAUUUGUAACUAUUUAAAGACUGUUCUGCAGGAAAGCUUUGAAACUCAUUCUUGUGGUGGAGAGCAAAUUCAUUUCUGCUCUGCACAAGGUCCAGAUCAGGGAUUCUGGUUGCAGUGACUAACACACUUCGAGGUCUUAGUGAAUAGCUAAGUGAAUAUGUCAACCCAGUGUAUGGCAGCUAUGAAAAAGAAAAAUUCCAUGCUAGGGAACAUUAGGAAAGGAAUUGAAAAUACAACUGCCAGUAUCAUGGUGCCAUUGUACAAAUCUAUGGUGUGGCCUCGCUUGGAACUUUUCCAUGUUCUGAAUCUUAUGGAAUGUAAUUUCUUUAUAUUUUAAAUUAUUUGUUUUCUAUCUCUGGUAAUUCUUAUUCAUUUUGUAUGAUUUUUGUGUGUUUUCCCAUUGCAGAAGGGCAGUGGUCUUUUCAGCUGUGCACAUGCAUAAUCUCAGGCAAUUCUUCAAUUAGAUGUGCUUGGAUGAAUUGAUUUGAUGCUAAAUUACACUUUCUCAGGCUGAGAGAAAUUGAUAACCAUCUAUUAUGUCUGUGAAUUUCCAUCUAUACCAAUCUGUUUCUUUCCUUUCAAUUUUGUAUACAUUUUUUAAAGAACUCAGAUAAUAUUAUUCACUUGACUUUACAAGUGCCUUGUUUUCCACCUUGUUUAGUGUUCAAUGAAAAUAAAGGUAGAGCUAAACAUGGGUAAUCCCAUACAAUAACCAACUCAUUCUCUGAGUACCGGUCCUUAUGAGGCCUUAUGCAGUAGCAUCAUUCACAUACAGUGGCUGGCCAUAUGCUUCCAGGAAACCCACCCCCAGCAAGUCAUACAAGCAACAACCCCUUCCUAUUGUGGCCUUUCUCCACAACUACUGGUAUUCAGUGAUCUGCAGCCUGUCAACAUGGUGGUUCAAUCCAACAUCACAACUGGCAGCUGCUGAUGACCCAACCUCACUGAAUGUUAGGCAUGAUCAGAUGGUCCCAGCUUAGAUCAGAUACAUCCAGAAUGAUUCAGGGCUGUCAAAAAGGGGGAGCAUUAGGCAGCAAGGAGAGAGGAGAAGAAUGAGAAACAGAAUGCCUGUGUCUCCUUCCCCUUCUCCCGACCCAAUGUUUAAUAAGCAUACAAAACCUAAUAUUUUAGGUGUUUUCAAAUGUGCCAGAUCAUGACUGUAUCAGCCUGAGGUCAUCCCAUGUUGGAUCAGUGCCACUCAAAGCACUGAAUGAUUCCCCAAAUCAGGUUGGGGUGUGUGCACAGCCUGAGCAAGUACUAAGUUGCUCCUUCCUGUAUUAGUCAAGUUUAUCAUUUGGACCACAUCCCAUAUUCUUAAAAUCCAGUCUUCAAGUGUUAGAGCACUAAUUUUUUUUCCUAGUUAAUGCUGCAUGAGCAGAUGCUACUAGAUGUAUUUUAAUAUCCCUGUCAUCUAAGAAGACUAGAUCUUUUAUAAAACUGUAGAAUUAUAACUGGGGGCUCUGCUGGUGAGUCAUACUCUGUUAUACUCCCUAUUUCUCUUACAAUGGUUGCCCAUAAAGUUCUUAUUUUGUCUCACCCACACACCCAAACCCAAAUAAGCUGUAUAUUGUCAUACAUUGCUUUAUGGACCAUCCACUACACCUGUCAUGGGCCAAAUGAAGAUGUCACAGAGGGGAUGGUGGGAUCGUGAGGAGGAAUAGGAUAAGCUCAAGGAGUUAGAGCCUGAGCUGGAUACAGGAAGUGGCCUCUGUCUCUGGGAAGCAUCUGUCUCUGGGAAGGGAGACAGUAGUUUAGGAAAUAGAGGCAUAGAUCCAAGGGAGAGACAAAGCAGAGGGGGCUGAAAAUGUUCCACCCCCAUGAUGUUGAACACCCCUGGUUAGACACCUCCUACUGUGGAGCUGCCGCAGAUUCCUCCUUUAGGGAAGGAGACAUGUUAAACUGGAUUCUGAAAAGGCACCAGUGUUGCCUCCCUCUUCAAGGUUUAAGAAAGGGAGGGAAGGUAUUUCCAUCAGAAUUGUGGGAGGAGAAUAGAAGGUAUUCAUUUUCUUCUCCCUGAAAUCCCCCUUGUGCUUCUCAAGUGACUGGGAAAUAGCUAAGAGGGGUUAAUGUAGGGUUGAAUUGAAGAGGAAAAGGUUCCUUUGGAGGAAGGGUGGGAUAUAAGAAUAAAUGAAUGAUCUGUAUUUCGAGCUGUCCCUUCUGCCUGCUUCUUGGUGAGUGAGGGAGGUGGAUGUUUUGGGCCAUGUAAGAUUAGGCGGUAGGUCAGCAGCAACCUGGGAGCGCAGAUUGCACACUUCUGAAGAAGAAAUAGAAAAAAGGCAAGUUUCCUAGAGACUAUGCAUAGUGACUGGAGAAUGUGCAUAUUGCCCAAAGGAUGUACAACAUACAGCCGAGAUAUGGACAUUUAGCUUUUAGUUGAUUUUAAUUAUUUAUUAAAUAUUUUAAAUUGCUGUUGUUGUUUUUUACUGUUUUCACUGAUCAUUUUAUUGUUUUGUUCUUUUGUAAACCACUUUGAGGUUUGUUUGUUUGUUUGUUUUACAAUCAAGCAGUCUGUAUAUAAAUUUUAUGAAAUACAUAAAUUAAAAAAAUUCCUAAAGCCUGGUAGAGAUUAUGCAUAAUGGCCAGAGAAUGUACAAAAUUCAGCUGAGAUAAGCAAUUCUCCAAGCCUGCUGGGGAUUAUGUAUUGACUGGCAAAUUUGCAUAAUUCCCUGUUCAUGGAAGAAUUAUGUGUACAUUUUCCAUGAGGCCUGGUGAAUGUGCAUUAGGUAUGGUUAUUAUGCACAUUAACUACUCAGAUUACAUUCCCUUUCUGACACACACAAAUACACAUAUAUCCACUUAAAAAGGUUGUUUGUUUAAGGUUUUUAAUAGCCAUCAGAAAGAGGACAGAGACAGCAGUAUUAUGGAGUAGAACAAUCUUUGGAGUUCUAUCCCUUUUCAGGAUGGACUGUUUGUAUGAUUUUAAGAGGAAACCUCUCUUUCCCAAUUACUAUGGUUUCUAAAUGUCUACCACUGUAUAAUUUAGAGGAUUUAAAAAUGGUUUAAAAUGUAUCACAAAAGAUCUUCCUUGACAUUUUAAUGAGCAAUUUCUAAAUUAUGAUGAUGGUAAUAAAACUUUUUAAUGCCCCCUGGGAGAGAAUUAUGGUUACUUUCUUUCUUUACAAAAAAGAAAAUUGCUUCAAUACUGUUUUCUUGUGGAUUAUUUUAAAAAACCACAUUUGCCUCCAAAACUCUUUUGCAUGUGAGCAUAUUAAAAAUAUCAAGAGGAACAAUGCUGUCAAAAUAAGUUUAUUUCAGUGCAGUAGGAAAGGCAUUGCUUAGGUGUAAAAGAAGUUUUAAAAUAUGAAUUGUUCACAUUUUACAUUGCUUGUAUAGCCUUAAGAGCUGAAGUAGAGUCAGCGAUGGAGAAUUGGAGACAUCACUCUAAACCAGAGUGUAGACUAGGCUUCUUCACCCUCAGCUUGACCACAACUCCCAUAAUUCCUAACCAGGUUAGCCAAUGUAUAGGAAUGGUAGAAAUUGCAAUCCGACAACAUUUUAUCACUAACAUAGCAGCUUCACCCCACUAAUCAAUAAUACUUCUGCUAGUUGCGACCCAAAUGUUAGCUUGUUUCUGCAUCUGUUGGGGUGUGUGUGACUUGUGUUACAUAUGUGAUUGUGUGUAGCCAGAACUGUCUUUGCUCGGGGUUCAGUUUCUCCCAUGAGUCUCAAGCAGAGUGGGAGUAGAUGGUAGUUGUAUUAGAAAUAAGGCCUCAUGUUGUGCACAGCCUGCCAUUUUACUUGCUACAGCUGCUGAGGUUAAUUUUGAACCGUGUGAUAAUGGAGUGCAAGGCAAUUAAUUAUUUCCCCCUCCCUUUUAACUUAAAAUAACAAGCUUUGACUUAAAGAACACAACACUUCCUUGGUUUUUAAAACAAGAUGAGAUGAAAUAUUGCAAAGUAAAUUAAUGCAGUACAUGGCAGAUGGGGCAAAGCUCUGAGCAAUUGGUGGUGCCUAAACAGUGAGAAGUUGUAAUGUGCAAUGAGCAAGGUUUGGGCAGUUUAAGAUGUUGCAAGGACAGCCAUAUUUUUCCCUUGUCAAUUCCUGGAGAGUAUGGGGAGGAGGCGAUAAGCUAACAAAUUCUCUUGACUUGAAUUUGCUUGCAAAAGUAAUAAUAAUGAACUUUUGUGCACUCUUUAUGAGGCUUUCUUCACCUUUUCCAAUUAUGCAAGUUGAUGGAUUUAGCCGUUUCAGGGGGGCAAAAAGGUGGGAAAGUACUGAAUUUAACAGCCUGAUACUUCAAAUGGAAGGCUAGGGAGGAAUUUCAACUCCCGCUGACAUUUCUAUCAAUCUCGCGUUCUCUGGCCAAUCAGCUAUCUGCACUGCUCAGCCAAUUCCAAGCCAAUGCUAUGGCCAGGUGGUCUUUCCUAGCAACUUCUAGGGCACCCCCAGGCAAAUUGGCUGUCCCCCUUCAGUCUAGCCAAUCAAGGAACAAAGGGUUGCUCCAGAUAAGUGUGUACCAGACCACAGUCUUAAAGGUGCUGGCACUGUGUGUGUGUGUGUGUGUGUGUGUGUAUGUGUGUGCGUGCGUGCGUGCGUGUGCAUACACCCACACACCACAUAUCUAUGAAUGAGAAAAUUCCUGUAUGCAAAGAUUCAGUACUCUAUGGUGAGAAAACCCCAAGAGAGAUUUAAGGUCACAAAAUAUGCAGCAAAGUAAAGCAUGGAAAUAUAGGUUGAUAGGGCUUUACAAUAUGGCCUUCCAAGUGAGUUCCAAAAUUACCCUCUUCACCCAGCAUAGGAAGUUUGGUAAGUUAAGAAAUUGUUUACUUACAAAUUCUCCAAGGGUCACAUUCAUGUGCUUCAGAAAAGCAAUAAAAUACAGCUUUCUAACAAAGUGGUAGAAGUUCCUAGAUCAUUAGUGUAGGAGCUCAAGCAUGGCUGCUGAGAACCAUAGGGCUGAGCUGGAGAAACCAGCUCAGACCUCUUCACACACUGAGUUUCUCAGGUAGACUGGGUUGGAACAUGAAACUUGAUUACCUAUUUCCUUCCAAGGUAAGGGAGCCAAGCCUGACAGGACAGCUUACUCUCUGGCUGUAACCCAUUCAUGCAUUAAUUAGACUUAAGUAUGUUAUCCCACAAAAAGCCUUUGCAGGACUGUUAACAAGAAUCUCCAUAAGCCUUACUGUAUUAAAUGAAAAUAAAACUUCUCUGCCAGUCCGUUUUUCUUCUUGUUGUCUCCUUUCCUACUCGCAACUCCUGUUGACAUACAGUCUCAAAAUUUCAAUUAUUGAGGUCUCCAGGUUGGGAUAGGAAGCCCCAUGUCUGAACCUCUGGAGAGCCGCUGGUAGAAUCUACACACACACAAAAAUGUUCUGCAAAUUCUUUUUAAAAGCAUUUUUAAAAAAUACAUUGAAUUUUCCAUAAGGCUCACCAUCACAUUCACAUUGUAUAUUGCACUUAAAACACACUUAAAACUUUUUAUUGCAGCUGUAUAUCAGUCGUUGGUGGUAAUGGAUGAACAAAUGGUACAACUCAGUAUAAUGCAACUUUCACUACUCUAAAAUAUCCUUUCUCAGAGCCAAGUUUCCUGUUUGAUCUAUGUGACUAAAAAAAUCACAAGGUGCAUGAGCUCAUUCAUUGUUCCUUCUCAGCAAGGAGACUACAGAAACCCGUUGAGGUUGAUCAGCCAUAGAACUCUUGGCAUGGGAGACUCCCCUACAAUCGGCAUUUUGUCAUUUAACUUUAGCACCAUGCCAAAUGAGGGAUUUUAAGAAUGUGCAGUAUUAUGAUUAUGAUUAUUCAAAUCUUCUUCAGGGGUACAAGUGAUCCAGUGGUGGGUAGCCUAAUUGCAUGGCUGAGGCAAUAUUGAUUGCUAUGUUUUAUGGUGCCAAUUAAUCUCAAGCUCUUUUAACCAAUGAGUACGUCAAUAUUUAUGAUUGUAUGUCUUUGCAUUAAACGGGGAGGAUUGUGGGAGCAACCUGAUUAAGCAUCAGCAGUUCUGUGGCUUCUCUACAUUUGUACAUGAUCUCUCUCUCUCUCUCUCUCUCUCUUUCUCUCUCUCAAUAUCAUACACCUAGCCAGAAAAGCUGCCCACGAGGACCUCUUUAUUUGCUGUCAACUUUCUCCCCUUGAUGAGGGAUAAUGUGAGCUCUUUUCUCCUGACCUUUACAGUAAGUAGUCACGUUGACUGCUGAACACUGAUACAUUUGCUCCAUUACCUAGAAAGGUUUUAGCUUAAAGCAUUGCCCUUGCUUCCUCUGCUGAAGAAGGGAAAAGUCUUUUGAAACAAAUGACUGAUCACAUACUCCAACUUAAAGAUUUUUCAGUCUUUGGUCUGAAACACUCUUUCAGUCUCGUCAAGCAAGUAUUUGAAGCCUAUAAUUAAAUGUUGUUUAACAAUAUUCUGUACCUUUGGGAGCUAAAAUUAUUUUAAUAUAUGGGAUUUGUGUGUGUGUGUGUGUGUUUAACUCACAGCGAUAAUUUUGCUUUAAAAAGUAAUAAUAAUCAGGCAUUCUGUUAAGUUCACAGCCAUGCAUUCAAUAUUGCCUCAGCCAAAUGACUGCUAUCCUGAAAACCAGCCCACAUAUAUGUAGAAUCAUCAAAGAAAUAAUAAUAAAGUUUAAAAAAUAAAAAAUAAAUGUAGGAAUAUUUCUCAGGGAGGAAGUCAAAAUCCCCCAUACAUUUAGGAAGUGUGUGGCCUACUUAGCUUGUUUUGAAUUAAAUGCAAAAUAAAAAAAAUAGAUGAGGUAGUUUAAGCCUAAGGGGAGUUCUGAACCACCAUCAUAAUGCUCUUUCCAAUUCCUCCUGAACAUGUGUUGGAAGGAAUGCACUGGAACAGGUUGGCUAUUUAAAUUGAGUAUUUAAAGAGUGUUCUUUUGGUUGCCUCCAAACUGCUGAGAUGCUCUCUUCAUCUUCCCUGCUGGGGCAUCAUAAACUGUGAUAAAGCCAGAACAAUGAAAACAAGAUUAAGUAAUAUUUUUUGGUGGUGGUGGUGGGGCAAGGACAUUACCCCAAAGGGAAGUUGUCAGUGGUCACCUUCCAGUAAUGGAAGGAUCAAGAUCCACAAACAAGAUCGGAAUGCAACAGCAUUAUACUGAUUGCAUAGACCACUUUAAAAACAGGAUGAUGGACUAGAUGGUCCUUUGGUCUGAUCCAGCAGGGCUCUUACCUUAGAAUCAUAAAAUCCUAGAAUAAUAGAGUUAUAAGGGACUACCAGGGUCAUCUAUUCUAACUCCCUGCAAUGCAGGUGUCUUUUUGCCCAAAAUGGGGCUUGAAUACAUGAAUCCAUGAAUUUCAUGUUCUAGUGACUGAGCUUCCCCAGCUUUUCUUAUCCCGCAAGCUGAAAAAGUUGAGAGAGCAGCUUAGAAGGUGCAGGUCAGGCCACAAGGCACACACAGCUCUUUCCUCUACCAUUUUCCCACUGUUCCCCACUGCCUAGCCCCAAAUCGUCAUUUUGAGACAUUCUGUCUCAUUCUUCCUAAUGGUAGGGCUUGAACUGGUCAACUGGCAAAUGAGAAGUUGCCCAAGAGGUAUCAGCAUUAUUGGAGACACCUCAGGAACAGCCUCCCAUUCCUCAGUGGAAAGCACUAGGUGAAAAAAAGUAGUCUAUGCCACUACUGCCAAUAUAAGAAUGCCUUUCAUUGUUGUGGUGGAAGGAAAUUUAAUUUCAGGUGUAUCAAUAAGUUAAAAAAAAUAUCAGGGCAGUAAGUCUGUAUUUAAACACACAAGUUUUUUUUUCUCCCAGGUUUACAAGCUUUAGGAAUAUUUUAACAACACUUCCUUUUUAUCUGAGGUCAAAGCUUAAAUUUGCAACUUCCAAAUCCUCUUGCAUUAGUGGAAAUGCUAAAGAAAAGCUUGCCAAUUGUGGGACCUUUGCUGAACACAGGCAGCUCUGGCUGCAGAUAGUUUUAAGAGUUAAGUGAUAGGACUGUUUGUCUCAGGAUGCAAACUAUAAUGCAGCUAUUAGUGAUAUGAAAUACUAGCUAUUAGUAUAAUCCAGAGGUAGCUGCUUUAAUCUUCUUAGCAAAAGGCCACUGUUAUUCAUUAAGGCCAGAAUGUGGAGAGAAGAUCUAGAUUGUACUUAUAUGAAAUGAUUAAAUAUUCAUUUCAGUUUAUGUAUAUAAAGCUAAAAGAAUGCCCCAUUUUACUCCAUUAUUACCUCUAACCUCCUAAAGCAAUUUUAAAACUAUAUUAUUCGCAGGAUACAUAACUAUAAGUAGAAAAGUUGGUAUAGCACAGUUGAGGUGUGUGAGUAUAGAAGAUUUCUACCCUACAGAGAUGAAGGGGACGCGUUCCCUUCUGGGCAAUUUUCUGGAUAUCACUUGCAUGUGGUGGGAGGGUCAGAUGCAAAAUGGAUGGAGCAACAAAUAUAAAUGCUACCUUUGCUAAAUUAGCUUAGUUUCUACACAUGUCCCUUUCUAUUCUCAAUCCAGGAAGCAAUAUGCAUGAGGAAGACUUCAG
Molecule: non-coding RNA, 9640 nt
Organism: Podarcis lilfordi (Lilford's wall lizard)
Lineage: Eukaryota; Metazoa; Chordata; Lepidosauria; Squamata; Lacertidae
Source: the annotation of a GenBank genome assembly